GGGAAACUGCCUGAUGGAGGGGGAUAACUACUGGAAACGGUAGCUAAUACCGCAUAACGUCGCAAGACCAAAGUGGGGGACCUUCGGGCCUCAUGCCAUCAGAUGUGCCCAGAUGGGAUUAGCUAGUAGGUGGGGUAACGGCUCACCUAGGCGACGAUCCCUAGCUGGUCUGAGAGGAUGACCAGCCACACUGGAACUGAGACACGGUCCAGACUCCUACGGGAGGCAGCAGUGGGGAAUAUUGCACAAUGGGCGCAAGCCUGAUGCAGCCAUGCCGCGUGUGUGAAGAAGGCCUUCGGGUUGUAAAGCACUUUCAGCGGGGAGGAAGGCAUUAAGGUUAAUAACCUUAGUGAUUGACGUUACCCGCAGAAGAAGCACCGGCUAACUCCGUGCCAGCAGCCGCGGUAAUACGGAGGGUGCAAGCGUUAAUCGGAAUUACUGGGCGUAAAGCGCACGCAGGCGGUCUGUCAAGUCGGAUGUGAAAUCCCCGGGCUCAACCUGGGAACUGCAUUCGAAACUGGCAGGCUAGAGUCUUGUAGAGGGGGGUAGAAUUCCAGGU
This 559-nucleotide ribosomal RNA is filed under the name uncultured bacterium. Its description in RNAcentral is "bacterial SSU rRNA". It matches the Rfam family "Bacterial small subunit ribosomal RNA", at positions 120 to 674 of the family's 1533-position model. The record is from RNAcentral.